This 253-nucleotide ribosomal RNA is filed under the name uncultured bacterium. RNAcentral describes it as "partial 16S ribosomal RNA". It matches the Rfam family "Bacterial small subunit ribosomal RNA", at positions 524 to 776 of the family's 1533-position model. The record is from RNAcentral.
UACGUAGGUGGCGAGCGUUGUCCGGAUUUACUGGGCGUAAAGGGCGCGUAGGCGGCACCGCAAGUCGACUGUGAAAUCUCCGGGCUUAACUCGGAAAGGUCAGCCGAUACUGCGGGGCUAGAGUGCAGAAGGGGCAACUGGAAUUCUCGGUGUAGCGGUGAAAUGCGUAGAGAUCAGGAAGAACACCGGUGGCGAAAGCGCUCUGCUAGGCCGCAACUGACACUCAUGGACGAAAGCUAGGGGAGCGAAUGGG